GUGCUCACUUUGACAACACAUAUACUGAAAUUGGAAUGAUACAGAGAGUAGCACAGCCCCUGUGCAAGGAUGACAUGCAAAUUGUGAAGUAUUCCAUAUUUUU
Choloepus didactylus (southern two-toed sloth) is the source of this 103-nucleotide small nuclear RNA. Lineage: Eukaryota; Metazoa; Chordata; Mammalia; Pilosa; Megalonychidae. The record is from RefSeq and is a predicted model, not a curated record.